AGUGAACGCUGGCGGCGUGCUUAACACAUGCAAGUCGAACGAGAACGGGUUAUAGCUUGCUAUAAUUGUCAGCUAAGUGGCGCACGGGUGAGUAAUGUAUAGGUAAUAUGCCUCUUACUAAGGGAUAACAAAUGGCAACGUUUGCUAAUACCUUAUACUCCUUAUUAACAGAAGUUAAUAAGGGAAAGAUUUAUUGGUAAGAGAUUAGCCUGUAUUGUAUCAGUUAGUUGGUGGGGUAAUGGCUUACCAAGACUAUGACACAUAACUGGUUUCAGAGGAUGAUCAGUCACACUGGAACUGAGACACGGUCCAGACUCCUACGGGAGGCAGCAGUGGGGAAUAUUGCACAAUGGACGAAAGUCUGAUGCAGCAACGCCGCGUGGAGGAUGACACAUUUCGGUGCGUAAACUCCUUUUAUAUGAGAAGAUAAUGACGGUAUUAUAUGAAUAAGCACCGGCUAACUACGUGCCAGCAGCCGCCGUAA
RNAcentral lists this ribosomal RNA (484 nucleotides) under uncultured bacterium. RNAcentral's name for it is "partial 16S ribosomal RNA". It matches the Rfam family "Bacterial small subunit ribosomal RNA", at positions 29 to 523 of the family's 1533-position model. The record is from RNAcentral.